AGCUUUGCGUAGUAGCAGUAACGUAGCCAAUGAGGUUUAUCCAAGGCGUGAUUAUGCUAAUUGAAACUUUUCCCAAUACUCCACCAGGACGACUUGCAAUAUAGUCAGCAUUGGCAAUUUUUGAUAGUUCCCAUGGGGA
Molecule: small nuclear RNA, 139 nt
Filed under: Microcebus murinus (gray mouse lemur)
Lineage: Eukaryota; Metazoa; Chordata; Mammalia; Primates; Cheirogaleidae
Description: U4 spliceosomal RNA (ENSMICG00000042567.1)
Rfam family: U4 spliceosomal RNA
About the family: U4 small nuclear RNA (U4 snRNA) is a component of the major U2-dependent spliceosome. The structure of U4 snRNA from yeast and human has been reported.
Source: Rfam by way of RNAcentral